Molecule: long non-coding RNA, 5847 nt
Filed under: Rhinopithecus roxellana (golden snub-nosed monkey)
Lineage: Eukaryota; Metazoa; Chordata; Mammalia; Primates; Cercopithecidae
Description: lncRNA (ENSRROG00000045848.1)
Source: RNAcentral
GGAAUAGGAUUGUGAUGGGAAAGAACCACGUUUUCCGCUUCAACCACCCGGAGCAGGCGAGGCUGGAACGGGAACGAGGGGUCCCCCCACCCCCAGGACCGCCCUCUGAGCCAGUCGACUGGAACUUUGCCCAGAAGGAACUGCUGGAGCAGCAAGGCAUCGAUAUCAAGCUGGAAAUGGAGAAGAGGCUGCAGGAUCUGGAGAAUCAGUACCGGAAAGAAAAGGAAGAAGCCGAUCUUCUGCUGGAGCAGCAGCGACUGUAUGCGGACUCAGACAGCGGGGAUGACUCUGACAAGCGCUCCUGUGAAGAGAGCUGGCGACUCAUCUCCUCCUUGCGAGAGCAGCUGCCGCCCACCACAGUCCAGACCAUUGUCAAACGCUGUGGCCUGCCCAGCAGUGGCAAGCGCAGGGCCCCUCGCAGGGUUUAUCAGAUCCCCCAGCGACGGAGGCUGCAGGGCAAAGACCCCCGCUGGGCCACCAUGGCUGACCUGAAGAUGCAGGCCGUGAAAGAGAUCUGCUACGAGGUGGCCCUGGCUGACUUCCGCCACGGGCGGGCUGAGAUUGAGGCCCUGGCCGCCCUCAAGAUGCGGGAGCUGUGUCGCACCUAUGGCAAGCCGGAGGGCCCUGGAGAUGCCUGGAGGGCCGUGGCCCGGGAUGUCUGGGACACUGUGGGCGAGGAGGAAGGAGGUGGACCUGGCAGUGGUGGUGGCAGUGAGGAGGGAGCCCGAGGGGCAGAGGUGGAGGACCUCCGGGCCCACAUCGACAAGCUGACGGGCAUUCUGCAGGAGGUGAAGCUGCAGAACAGCAGCAAGGACCGGGAGCUGCAGGCCCUGCGGGACCGCAUGCUCCGCAUGGAGAGGGUCAUCCCCCUGGCCCAGGAUCAUGAGGAUGAGAAUGAAGAAGGUGGUGAGGUCCCCUGGGCCCCGCCGGAAGGAUCAGAGGCAGCAGAGGAGGCAGCCCCCAGUGACCGCAUGCCGUCAGCCCGGCCCCCCUCGCCACCACUGUCAAGCUGGGAGCGGGUGUCACGGCUCAUGGAGGAGGACCCUGCCUUCCGUCGUGGUCGUCUUCGCUGGCUUAAGCAGGAGCAGCUACGGCUGCAGGGACUGCAGGGCUCUGGGGGCCGGGGCGGGGGGCUGCGCAGGCCCCCAGCCCGCUUCGUGCCCCCUCACGACUGCAAGCUACGCUUCCCCUUCAAGAGCAACCCCCAGCACCGGGAGUCUUGGCCAGGGAUGGGGAGCGGGGAGGCUCCGGCUCCGCCCCAACCCCCUGAGGAGGCCGCUCCCCCUCCAACCACCCCUGCCCGCAGGCCUCCGAGUCCCCGAAGGUCCCACCAUCCCCGCAGGAACUCCCUGGACGGAGGGGGCCGAUCCCGGGGAGCGGGUUCUGCACAGCCUGAACCCCAGCACUUCCAGCCCAAAAAGCACAACCCUCAUCCCCAGGCACCCCAACCCUACCCAGCCCAGCGGCCCCAAGGGCCCCGCUACCCCCCAUACACUACUCCCCCACGAAUGAGACGGCAGCGCUCUGCCCCUGACCUCAAGGAGAGUGGGGCAGCUGUGUGAAUCCCACAUCCUGGGCAGAGGGCCUGGUGGGGCCCCUUGCUAGGAGAAGGGAAGACGCCUGAGACGCUGCUUCCCCGGAAGCGCUGGGGCAGGGAGGCCCAGGAGACGAGAGAGAAGGUCCGAGUAGGUGAUAGAAGACGCGGGGGAGGCCGAGCUGGAGGCUGAGGAAAGGACGAGGGCACGGAGUUGCCAGGAGCAAACCAAAGUGAAGAGAGAGAGGAAGCUGCCUCGGGGCCACCCCUCGCAAGGGGGUGGAUCCCACAAACGCUGCUAUGGGUGGGGUGGGGGGCUGGGGUGCUGCGUAGCCAGUGUUUGACUUUCUUUUCAAGUAGGGGAAAGGGGGAGAGGACAGAGUGAGGCAAGUUCUCCCCAGCCCCUGUCCGUCUGUCUGUCUGUCUGUCUGUGGUGGUUUCUGUUUCUAGGGAGGCAUGGUAGGAUCAUAAGUCAUUCCCCUCCUCUUCCAGGCCUCCUGCUGUAUUUGGGGGACCUGACUGGUAUGGCUGGAGUCCCAUGAGGAUGUGGCCCCUUUAAUAAAGGAUAGUGAACAGGGAGCUUGUGGCCUGUUUGUUUUGGGUUUUCGUGGAGGUGUAGGUUAUAUAAGGACAUGGCACAGGUCUUAAGCAUACUUACCAGUGGAGUUUUACAUGUGUGCUCUGUGCAGGCACCACCCAGAGCUGGACAUAAGAAUGCUUCCAUCUUGUCGUCCUGAGCUGCAACCUCCUGUCUCUUCCUUCAGGGUGCGCAGCCCGGUCUUUUCUCCCUGCUUCUUUUUUGGUGGGGGAGGGGUAGAGACAGGGUCUUGCUUUGUCGCCCAGGCUGGAGGUGCAGUCUUGGCUCACUACAGCCUCUGCCUCCCGAGUAGCUGGGAUUACAGGCAUGCGCCACCACACCCGGCUCAUUAUUGUAUCUUCAGUAGUGACAAGGUUUCACCAUGUUGGCCAGGCUGGUGUCGAACUCCUGACCUCAAGUGAUCCACCCACUUCGGCCUCCCAAAGUGCUGGGAUUACAGGUGUGAGCCACGGCGCCUGGCCUCCCCUGCUUUCAUUUUUGCUUAUCCAGUGUCUCAAUCUGUGCCAACCACACCGCUGUCUGCUAUGGACAAAGCACAGAAGGGGGGAUGCGAGGGGAGGUAGAGGGACUGCCAGCCUGUCAAUGCCUAAUUGGCUGUUGCGGACAGAUACAGAAGGAUUUGUGGGGUACAGAGGAGUUCUGCUUUAUUAAGUCACCUCACUUGUUUGAAAGGUCUCCCAAGUAGCUAGUUUCUCCUGAUAGCGAAUGGGUGGGAAUGGGUGGGGCAGGCUUACUGCGCUUUCCUGAUUGUUUUCAUCCUGGUUGUGUUACCUGCCUUCUGGCAGGGUCCAUCUUUGUUCCCAGACUGCUGCCUGCUUGUUUUAAUGUUCUGGAUCGAGGCAACGAGCCCUUGACUAUGCCACAUUGCCAGGAUUUUGCAGGUUAGAUUGUACUGCCGUAGGCUUGCCAGACUCUGGAGUCCCCACAUUUUCAUCCUGUUCUCAGGAAAACACUUUGACCCACUUGAAGCUCUGAGCUGCUACUACUGCACAGCUUUCUGAGGCCAGUCUCCGGUUGCAAGCAGCCAAACCACGGCAUUGGGCGAAGGAAGGAUUAGGUUUACUCUUGGUUUCCACAGGGUGUGGUUUCCACACCCUGAUGCUCCUACCUUUAUUUUGACACCUCUGACUGCCAGGUUUUCACAGACCUGUUGACAGUGACCCAAGACCUGGAAUGUAAUGGAUGGUUUGGCAACAGUGUUUGCUUGAGCAGUUUAAAAUCUGGCCGGGGAGACUAAAUGUGAGCAAGAAAAUGAUAGAAUACAAAGUUCUCUGGAGGUCAGAGGGAGCUGAGUGUUACAGAGAACACUGUGGGUUUCAAGAUGAGAAAAACAGCUCGCUAAUUUAAAAGACGUAUUAUUUUUUCCUAAAGACCUUGCCUUAUAUAAAUGUAUAUUAUCCAUAAUUUUUAAAAUGCACUAUGGCCAGGCACGGAGGCUCACACCUGUAAUCCCAGCACUUUGGGAGGCUGAGGCAGGAGGAUCAGUUGAGUCCAGGAGUUCGAGACCAGCCUGGGCAACAUAGCAAAACCCUGUACCUACAAAAAAGACAUAAACUAGCUGGGUGUGGUGGUGUGUGCCUGUAGUUCCAGCUACUAGGGAGGUAGGAGGAUCACCUGAGCCCAUGGAGGUUGAGGCUGCAGUGAGCCAUGAAGGCACCACUGGACUCCGGCCUGGGCAAGAAUGGAACCCUCCCCCAAAAAAAAAAAAAAGAUCAACAUAUCCAGCCUUGCAAGUCAAUCUUUAAUAAUUGCGUGGGCCAGGCACAGUGACUCACGCCCGUAAUCCCAGCACUUUGGGAUAUUAGGGUGGGAGCAUCACUUGAGGCCAGGAAUUUGAGACCAGCCUGGGCAACAUCGUGAGACCCCCCGAUCUCUACAAAAAAUAAAAAAUAAUAAUGCAGGCAAACUUGUUAAGAUUUUAUUCAGAGUAGUGCCUAUUUAUCUUUUUGUUUUCUUUGAGACGGAGUCUCGCUCUGUCGCCUAAGCUGGAGUGCAGUGGCGUGAUCUCGGCUCACUGCAAGCUCCGCCUCCCGGGUUCACGCCAUUCUCCUGCCUCAGCCUCCCGAGCAGCUGGGACUACAGGCGCCGGCCACCACGCCCAGCUAGUUUUUGUAUUUUUUAGUAGAGACGGGGUUUCACCGUGUUAGCCAGGAUGGUCUCGAUCUCCUGACCUCGUGAUCCACCCACCUCGGCCACCCAAAGUGCUGGGAUUACAGGCGUAAACCACUGCGCCUGGCUGCCUACUUAUCUUUUAUCUGUGCUACAUGUGCCGGCAUUCCAUAUCCAUUUCAUUUAGUCCUUAAAGUACCCCUGUAAAAUAGGUCUUUUGUCUGCAUUUUUCACAUGGGAAGACUGAGGUUUUGUUUAUUUUUAUUUAUGUAUUUUUUGAGACGGAGUCUCGUGCCGUCACCCAGGCUGCAGUGCAAUGGCACAAUCUUGGUCCACUACAACCUCCGCCUGCCGGGUUCAAGCAAUUCUCCUGCCUCAGCUUCUUGAGUAGCUGGGAUUACAGGCACCCACCACCAUGCCCAGCUAAUUUUUUGUAUUUGUAGUAGAGAUGGGGUUUCACUAUGUUGGCCAGGCUGGUUUCCAACUCCUGACCUCAGGUGAUCCGCCCCCCUCUGGUUCCCAAAAUGUUGGGAUUACAAGCAUGAGCCACCACACCCGGCCUAUUUAUUUUUUUAGAAUCAAGAUCUUGCUUUGUUGCCCAGCCUGAACUCCAACUCCCAGGCUCAAGCAAUCCUGCCUCAGCCUCCCAAACCAAGUAACUGGUACUACAAGCAUAUGCCACUGUGCCUGGCUCCUAAAGACUGAGAUUUGAUUAGAUUAAUGACUUGCCUAAAUUCAGACAGUUCUUAAUUGGCAAAGUUAGGAUUCCAAUCCAGGUCAAUGUAACUAAAGCCCAAACCCCAUCUCAUCCCUCUAGGCCAUCCAAUAUUGGCUGGGUGUGGUGGUUUAUGUCUGUAAUCCCAGCACUUUGGGAGGCAGAGGUGGAGGUGGGAGGACUGUUUGAGCUCAGGAGUUUGAGACCAGCCUGGGCAACACAGCAAGACAAAAAAUAUAUAAAUUAGCUGGGUGUAGUGGCUCACACCUGUAGCUACUUGGGAAGCUGAGGUGGGAGGAUCGCUUGAGCCUGGGAGGUCACGGCUGCAGUGAGCUGUGAUUGUCACUCCAGCCUGAGUGACAGAGGGAGACCCUGUCUCAAAAAUAUGUAUAAAAAAUAAAAAGAAGAUCAGACAUCACCAUCACCUCUCCUAGAAACCAUGAGGCCUUCUCCUCAACUCAGAUCUUCCGAGGCAUUUCAUGAACUUGGAUCUAGUUUCUGUUGUCUCCCAAAUUGCCCAGGUUGUCCUGUGAGUGAGAGCAGCAGCUAUUUCAUGGGCCACCUCUGGAAUCAUAAGAAGUCACCCAAACAAUCUCAGUUUUCUAGCUCACUCAAUCUUGACAUUUCUACAGUGUCAUCCUUGGUUUUCUUGGAAAUUAAUUUGCUUUUCUUCAUUGUCUUUCUUUGGAGCUUCUCUCCUCUUGUUGGUUACUAUUUUAUUUUUAACUUCCCACACCAUACCAGCAUAUGUUGGUUAUUCUUUUAGACAUUUUGUUGUUGUUGUUGUCACCUGGAACUUUUGUAUCUUGAAUAAAUUUGGGGAUCGAAUACAUUUUUUCUCCACCAGUCUUAUUUAUACCUUUCUAUAUUAAGAGCUUCAAAUUUGGUUUG